AGCCACCGCCUCCUCCCUCGCUGCUUCCACUCCUCCCGCAGCCGCCUCCCUCCCUCCCUCCCACGCAGCCGCCUCCCUCCCUCACUCGCUCCUCAUCCGGCGAUCGCUUCCACUCCUCCCACAGCCGCCUCCCUCCCUCACUCGCUCCUCAUCCGGUGACGGCAGCAGCGGUCACAGAGGAGGGCGGCGGAUCAAUGGCGUCGGCGAUGGCGUCCGUGGCGGCGGUGGACGGCGCGGCCGCGGCGCUCCGUUCGGUGAUGUCACGCGCGCGGCAGGUGGCGGCGCGGUCGGGGCGGGCGCCAGAGCAAUUUGGGCUUCUAUCCUGAUCAGUUAAUCCUUUGCCUCCUCUUGCUCGUACGCCAACAUGUGAGAACUAGGAGAAAGGGGUGGAGGCCAUGGAGGUCACGGGGCAAGGAAGAAGAGGAGGCCAUGGAGGUCGUGGGGGAGAUCCGGAGAGGAACAGGAGGCCACGAUGGAGGACCACGAUGUCGCCCCCAUCUUCCCACUCCUUGAAGAAUAGCACCCCUUCGAGCCCCAUGUUGUGGAAAAUAUUGGAACAAUCAACAAUCAUGUUGAAGACCAACAUAGGAUGAUAGAGAAUCUCCAGGUUCAAGGAAUUGUUCUCAGCGUCAUCCAAUGGAGGAAAGAUAAUGCAGAGGGGGUGGAAGUAGAUGUUGUGUCGCUAAUAGCACCAACUGCCAUUUACGGAUCCAGGGCCCGAGUCUUAGUUUGAUCUUGCUGUUUCGCGGCUCAAUAUCGAUGACUACCAUGAGGCACUGCACAGUUAAACUCCUCUGGUAUUUUCUACACCUUUGUGUAAUGGGUGGAACCUAUCCUACACAAUGCCCAAUGAGCCAUGUUUUUUCCUACGGGUAGAAAAUGCUCUGUUUUCAAGUGGCAUCAUACGGCGAAGCAGGGGAUCUGGAUCAGGGGUCGUAAUGGUUCUUGUGACGACAUGUCUAGCGCUUGCGCUCCCUGCACUCUGGCUUCUACUUGCAAGAUAAGUUCAAGACAAGUCUGACCUAAUAACUACUAUCGCCUUCUAUCCAAUGUCGAGCCUUCAACGGGGGCAUCGGAGGGGACACCGUCGCACGAAAGGUUGGUGCCUCAAGCCACACUUAUUUCUUGUGAUUCUUUUCUCUUGCCACCGAGUUCGAUUCCUCUGAUUGCAUGCAGCCCAGGAGAAGCCUAAACUGAAAAUAACUAGCUUUAGUACUUUUCAUUCAUAUGCAUUCCCUACUCAGGGAAAAAUGUCUUGCGUAUGUGUGUGUGUACUGAAAUUGUAACUCACUAUAGUAAUUCAUAAUUUGUUCAAUUUUUUACUUUGAUGCUGCAAAUAUAGGGAGGAAAUAUUGUGCAAGUCAAUAUCUCAAAAUGAACAAGGGGAAACCUUUUAAGUUACCUAAGGGAUCCAGAGGAAGGGCUAAAAACUGCAUAAGCAUAGCCAGUGAGCACGUAGAAAAAGCAUUGCAGUAUUCUUACAGGGACCAGCGUAACAAGAAAAAGUGACAGACCGUAUCUCUGGAUCGACUCCAUUGGGUAUCCAUUAACGUCUGAGAUUUCACAAGGAAAUGAGUUUCUUUCAUUCUCAUGUUGAAAAGAAUUAUAAAGAAACCAAGCAGAAUAUGAUGUCAAACUUUUAAGCUAUUAUUGGGUGGCCACCUAUCAAGGUUUGCUGAAAGUUAUGAACUUGCUUUUCAAAAGGCUUUGUAUUCUGCAUCUUUAUUUGUGCAAGAAAUCCAAUUGGAAUUGGUCUGUUGUCCUGUGCAUGUACUUUCUUUUGUUGCUUAUAUAUUUCAACCACUUAUUUAUGUUGUCCUGUGCAUGUACUUAUUUAUGUACUUCUGUCUGGGAUACUAUAUGGCUACCCUCUAAUGCACUGCUCAGCCUUCAGUCUCUUUCUGUAUAAUUGACUUAGGGAAAAACCCACUGUUUCCUAUCCUUUUCUGAACAGCGAGAUCUAAUUAUUAUGAAAGACAUCUGUAGUGUGUUGCUCUCUAUAUAAAUGGCUUGCUCUAAUUCUGAUUUAUCAGACUGUGUGGCUUCUGUUCUAAUCCUUUUUGCCAAACUUGAUGCGUCGAGUUUUGAGCUACUAUACCGCUUUGGAUCUUGUGCUUGGGCCGGGCAACUACUGAAAUGGAAAUGUGUUGGAGCGAUUAUGUGUUGCAGGUAAAGAAACAAAUUUUCAUUUUUUCGGCUUGCUAUUAAUUGUCACUUGCAUACACAUGAUUAGGUUGGUCAUGGAUUUGUGCAGCUAGCUAGUGCUAAUAUUAUGUGCUGCUCUAGAAAUAGAUCAAGUGAUACUUUUUUUUGUUCAUCUAAUGAUUUUUUUGUUAUUUCCUUUUGAAUGCUUAGCCAUGCUGUGUCUCACUCGUGUGAAACUCAAGAUUUGAUAGUAGCACAUAACUCCCUGAUUUGACAAAGAGUUAAAUUCCUAUAUUUUAGUAUAUCUUGUUAUCUUUCUUAUUUCUGUUCCUGAACUGAACUUCGCCCUUUUCUACAAAAUUAUAAGAGCAAUGGUGGUUUGGACAAAUGAUUAUGGUUGCUUAUUUAUUUUCUUGGUGUUAGAUUACUAAUGUAGAGAAAUAUAAUUAUAUGAUUUUACCAUUAUUAUCAUAUGAGGAAGUGAUAGGUUCGGAAAAUGACAAUAGUUUAAAAGAAGUAUUAUGGUGUAGUGCAGUAAUAAUUUUAAUUUAAAAUUGCAGAUCUUGCAUCAUAUUUUUGUUGUGUAUGUGGGCAGUGUGUUCAAGUUGAUCUGGAACAAUUUGAAGUGUUUCCUCGACACAAAAUCUUCAGCCAAGGUUUUCUUAAGCACCUGUAUAGAAGUUUAAAAUUGUAAUUGUUUCAGGUUCUUCGCCACAUUAUGUAUGCUUUGUUAUUUUUUUAAUAAUUGGACCUAUUUGCUAUGUGGAACAUGUAGCAUUUACUUGAUCAUAAUAUAAUUCAAUAUUUGACCACGGUCUUUUGGCUCUUGCUUUCAACAUAUGCAGUAUCGGUUAGUCAUUUUCUUGACACAACACUUUAGGCAACGGCUCAGACUUCUUGAGCCAUUCUCUAUUUAUUGUCGAUACAUCUUUCAAAAUAAACGAACAAUGUUUCCUCCAUAUAUGAAUGACACAAUGACUCUAUGAAUUUUUUCCAGUCAACUGAUCAUCCUAAGCCUCAUCCUGUAUUCAAUACAUUUAUGUUCCAUUGCUAACUAACGUUCGUUUGUGAUUUCUUUCUCGGGAUGGAAAUGUUCCUCGGCACCAUGACGAACAUCAACGGAGGAACAACCUUUUUAUUUUAUUUUCUGUUGCCUCUACUAUAUUGUUGCUGCCACAAAGAUUUACCUGGACAUGGAGCCAUCAUGAUGUGUUUAAAAAUGAUUACAUUAUCCUUUUCUAACCUGAUGGUGUUAGAAACCUCUUAGCAUUCGAGCAGGUUUAGUUCAUUGUUUAUUAAUUCCUAUUAUGUAAAAAAAUCACUGAUCAUCACUUGACAGAAAAUAUUUUGAUAUGCAAUCAUUUGCAUGGGCGAAGAACCUGGAUGUUAUUUA
Long non-coding RNA from Triticum aestivum (bread wheat), 3538 nucleotides. RefSeq lists it as uncharacterized. Lineage: Eukaryota; Viridiplantae; Streptophyta; Magnoliopsida; Poales; Poaceae. The record is from RefSeq and is a predicted model, not a curated record. The transcript has 7 exons.